Molecule: long non-coding RNA, 3948 nt
Filed under: Aquilegia coerulea
Lineage: Eukaryota; Viridiplantae; Streptophyta; Magnoliopsida; Ranunculales; Ranunculaceae
Description: long non-coding RNA (ACOE_LNC000609)
Rfam family: tRNA (bases 2696-2770)
Source: RNAcentral
AAUCUAUUAUAUGUUUGAAGAAGACAUACUCCAAAAUGUUCAGCUAAAAUGCAUUGACCUAAAGGGGUAUCGUGGGGUUCUCCAGCAUGGACUGAUAAUGGGUUGUUCAAUGACCAGAAAUGAUGUCUGCAUCAACGAACUUUCCCCUACAGGUAAUUAGUGUUAUUCCUUUGCCAUAGUAUUGUGUUGUAUGUGGUAUCAAUGAUACUUUUUUUGCUUUGUUUUUAUGGUUUUCCUUAUUCAUGGAUACUUCAUUCGCCAGUAUGAACCUUUGCUAAUACUACAGUAUGCAAGCAUUUUGCACUUUAUAAUAUGUCUUAAGAUUUUGCACAGAAUAGUAGUUUUAACAAUUAUACAGAGUUUAGAUUUGCUGUUUGGUACGAAACACUGUUUUCCUCAACGCAUAAUUAAUUAGACCAGCCCCCCAUGAGCAUGAACAUCACUGCUUCGAAUUCGUUGUUGUCAGAUCAUCCUCAUCUACAAUCCAGUGGGCAUCUUAGUGUCUAAUAUUUAAUUAAUAUUUAUUCAAAAUUGUGCUAUUUGCUGGUUCUAUCUAUAUGGUAGUUCAAUUGUUGAUUUCUAAUGAAUAUCAUGCCUCAAUGUCAUUGGAAAUCCGUCCAAACAUUUUAUUUGUGGAUAUGGAAACCCAUUAUUUGGACCAAAACAUUCAUGACUAUAAAAGUUACCAUGCCCUAGAAUUAUUUAUUGAUAACGAUUUUUUCUGUUUUUCUUUUGUUUCUACGGGGAGUACGGGGUAAAACAUUAAACAAAGGUUUGCUGAAUUGACUCAAAGCUACAAUAAGCUUAAUAUUAAGGAACGACCGAAUGUGUUAGAUCAAUGUUCAAGACCUAAAUCGGCCCAUAACUGCAAAUUAAUUUGUAUACAUAGAAAAUACAUGUAGAAAUCAUAUAGAAACUACUGAACUUUCAAUCACUAUUGAUCACUCUCUUUCUUAUUAUCCCUAGGUAAUUAAUCGCGAUGUGAUGACCAAAUUGCAACUGCUGCCCAAACACUAUGUGUUUUAUAUAAGGCAGUUAAGAGCUGGGAUAGCAUUACUGAUUCACUGAUAUUGAGAUAUUUUUGGGAAACUUCAACUGUUAAGUUUCAUAGGAUCAUGCCAUCAAUCAUAUCCAAAGAAUUGAUCUUUAGUUUCACAUUUUUUAGAAAAAUAUAUCUCAACCAUAUCUCUGAUUAUUUUAUUGCAGAAUCAUACAAAAAUUAUACUUAUGAAUGAACUUGAACAAAAACUUAUUCUGUAAAGUGCAAAUGAUCGAUUCCUACAACAAAUCAUGAAGAUUAAGAAAGAACACAUGCAUGUGGUUUCUACUAUUUUCUGAUUAUCAUGGAGGGUCCAAAAACUGCUGGUCGUCAAGUCACAGUGCAGAACCUUUUUGCAGAAACAGAAAAUAUCCUCUUAUGGUCUUAUGGAAACACUAAAGAUGUUGAUUUCAUGCUCAUUCAUGCAUCUAUACAGCUUCCGGUAAUUAUUUCUGAUAUCUAAACUUAAUAAGAGCAUUGAUUGCCAUUAUGGACUUUGAUGUUAACUUGGUCUUGGGAAGUUCAGUUUGACCAGGAUUAGGUCAUGACAAGAGUAUUGAAAACCCUAGAUUCUUUGGGCAUAUUUGACUAUAUAAAAGUUGGUUGUGGACAUCUGACAUGACUAUAUUGUGCAAUGCCAUUGUGGAAUCUGAUGCUGACUUGGUCUUGGGAAGUUCACUUUGACACAGGAAUCCAGGAUUAAAGCCUUAGAUUCUUUGGGCAUGACUGACCAUAUAAAAUAGGUUGUGAACAUCUGACAUGAUUAUAUUGUGCAACAUUUAUGUUUAUGGGUAAAAAUUUGUUGAUGAUCUUUGUUUACAUUUCAUAUUUUCCAGAGAAAAGCUCAAACUCUUCGUGGUGUUCAGAAUUAUAUGGUGGCCAUUGUCGGUGCCUUAUAUGAAGCAUUUAGCACUACUGCGUGUUUUAUUCAAUACCCACAAUUUAUGAUGUUCCUACUUCAUUUGUGAAUAUUGUCAUUCAAUACCCACAAUUUAUCAUCAACAACUAAUAUCUCCAAGUAUGGGGAAAAUGCCUAAUAUUAUGAGAUAACAAUGGUGAAAAUUUAGGCAUAUGUAUGGAGAUUGUUUCUGUAUUGUGUUGAAUAAUGGAUAAUCGAGUUUAAAGUAUUGUUUUUUCUUUUUGAAGUAGUUGUUCUUCAUUUUGCAUUAAAAUGUGAUGAAGAUUAAUUUGAGUUUCAGAAGAUGUGAAGGAUAGAUAGCUGGGCUUUGAUAAGAGUCUCUGUCUCCAUACUAAAGUAUUAGAAGAAACCUUUGAGCUUUGAUAUGUAUAAAUCAUUGAGUUAUGUAUAAAUUUUUGUGGUUACAGCUACUGGAGACAAGAAAACAGAAAUCUGCAGUGAACAAAAGAACUCUAUAAAUGAUUUUCAUAGUGAAGGUGAGUGCCCCUAUCAUUGCUACUUAAUAAUAUACGAGUAAUUUGUGUUGCAUACUCUAUUUCCUACAUAUGGCCUUUGGAUACCAUUUUGCCUUUUCAUAUUAUUUUUUACGUACUAGAGAUUAUGAAAGAAAUUAAACCAAAUUGUUAUUAUUGUUAUUGAUAAAUUGAUAAAUUGAAAUUUAGUUGAACUAUAUUGGACCACAAGGUCAUGUGUGUUGGGAAUAAAUUUGGCAUUUAGCAUAGUAUUAUGCAUAAUAAGCUCGGGUAGCUUGGUUGGUUAGAACAUGUGGCUUUUAAACCACAAGGUCGGAGGUUCAAACCCUUCCUCUAGCAUCUUCAUUUUCUUAGUAUAGUUUCACAUUUAGCAUUUUAUGCAUGACAGUGUCACAUUUACUAAUUGCAAUGCACUAGACUUAGUUGACGAAACUAAAAGUUCAACUGUUACUUAGCAUACUUGUAAUAACCCCCAUAGAUUGUGGAAUACCUGGAAGUUCCCAAAUGUUGCCCUAAAUUAAUUUGGAAACAACCUGCCUUUACUUAGCCUUAGGCAUCUGUAUUAGUGGGCUCCAAGCAAGCUAAGCAAAGCCAUUGGGGCCAUCAAAGAUCGAACUCGUAUCAGCCUAGCAAGGGUCAGUAAUAGCAAUUACUUUGCUGAUCAUUGGAGAGAUUGCAAACUUCUUUUUUAAAAAUUUAUUUGAAAACUACAGUCAUUUCCAUUAUUUGAGACCAAUAAAUUGUUCUAAUCAAAAUUUGAUCUAGAUCCGCUAAUGGAGAGUGGAUACUAUUCUUUUAUGUUUAAUUUCUACUGGAUAUUUUCGACUGAAACUACAAAUGGUUAGUGGAUACCUUUAGAACCGAAACUACAAGUGGUUAGAGGAUCGAAUACUUUUUUGUUAUGGUUCCAGCCUGAUGUUGUUUUGUAAGAUAUACGUAUAGUUGAAAACCAAGUGGAUUGCAAUGGAAUUUCCAUGUUGAGAUGGGAUUUCAGAAAACCAAGUGCAUUUCAAUAUUAAGUUUAAAUUCACAAAGAGUAUUCAGAUCUCACAAUCAUAAUCUCAAAAUGGCCAUGCCAAGUGCUACAUCUGCAGAUAUGGAGUUGCUUUCAUCUGCAGAAAUACUAAAGGAUCUUUUAUAAGUGCAGGCACCUGCACUGGUGCAGCAAGCAGCAGUGAACAAGAAGAGUGUUGCGGAAUCUGGUCAGCAGUACAAUGGGCCUGCAACCAAGGAGUGAAGAGGCUGGAAGUUGAAACAGACUGCAGAUCUACUGCAGAAUUUUUAAAGGGGGAAACCGGCUAAUCUUGCUUGGUCCUCAAUUACUAUCUUAAAUGAUAUUUCGGAAUGGUUGAAGUACUUUGAUUUUAUUUGCUUUAAGUUCUGUAAUCACACAGGUCAUCAUGCCUAUUCAGUUUUUAUUUACUCCCAACUCUGUCUGAACAACUAGACAGAUAAUCUGUUCUGUAAUAUUUCAGAAGCUAUUUGACUAAUGUAUGUAUAUGUUGACUAUAAAAAAA